RNAcentral lists this ribosomal RNA (492 nucleotides) under uncultured bacterium. RNAcentral's name for it is "partial 16S ribosomal RNA". The stretch from base 52 to 492 matches the Rfam family "Bacterial small subunit ribosomal RNA", at positions 39 to 507 of the family's 1533-position model. The record is from RNAcentral.
GGGGGGGGGGGGGGGGGGGCGGUGGGGGGGCAGGGCGGGGGGGGGCAGGGGGUGGGGGGCUGACGAGUGGGGGACGGGUGAGUAGUGCAGCGGAGCGUGGCCAGGGGUGGGGGAUAGCGCAGCGAAAGCUGUGCUCAUACCGCAUGUGAUCUGAGGAUGCACGCGGGGGACCGAGCAGCAAUGUUUGGCCUCGCGCCUUUGGAGCGGCCGAUGUCGGAUUAGCUAGUUGGUGGGGUAAAGGCCUACCAAGGCGACGAUCCGUAGCUGGUCUGAGAGGACGACCAGCCACACGGGAACUGAGACACGGCCCAGACUCCUACGGGAGGCAGCAGUGGGGAAUUUUGGACAAUGGGCGCAAGCCUGAUCCAGCAAUGCCGCGUGCGGGAAGAAGGCCUUCGGGUUGUAAACCGCUUUUGGCAGGAACGAAACGGUGUCCGCUAAUACCGGGCGCUAAUGACGGUACCUGCAGAAUAAGCACCGGCUAACUACGUG